AUGCGACCAUACCCACUGGAGAACUCGGGAUCCCGUCCGCUCUCCCAUCGAUAAACCAGUGAGGGCCGGAGUAGUAGUUGGGUCGGUGACGACCAGCGAAUGCCUGGUGUUGCAUG
RNAcentral lists this ribosomal RNA (116 nucleotides) under Colletotrichum higginsianum. RNAcentral also lists the same sequence under 1 other name. The record is from RNAcentral. Lineage: Eukaryota; Fungi; Ascomycota; Sordariomycetes; Glomerellales; Glomerellaceae.